This 44-nucleotide ribosomal RNA is filed under the name Lactarius austrorostratus. RNAcentral describes it as "partial 28S ribosomal RNA". Lineage: Eukaryota; Fungi; Basidiomycota; Agaricomycetes; Russulales; Russulaceae. The record is from RNAcentral.
UUGACCUCAAAUCGGGUGAGACUACCCGCUGAACUUAAGCAUAC